AUUGAACGCUGGCGGCAUGCUUUACACAUGCAAGUCGAACGGCAGCACGGGUGCUUGCACCUGGUGGCGAGUGGCGAACGGGUGAGUAAUGCAUCGGAACGUGCCCAUGAGUGGGGGAUAGCCCGGCGAAAGCCGGAUUGAUACCGCAUACGCCCUUAGGGGGAAAGCGGGGGAUCUUCGGACCUCGCGCUAUUGGAGCGGCCGAUGUCGGAUUAGCUAGUAGGUGAGGUAAAGGCUCACCUAGGCGACGAUCCGUAGCUGGUCUGAGAGGAUGAUCAGCCACACUGGGACUGAGACACGGCCCAGACUCCUACGGGAGGCAGCAGUGGGGAAUUUUGGACAAUGGGCGCAAGCCUGAUCCAGCCAUGCCGCGUGAGUGAAGAAGGCCUCGGUU
Molecule: ribosomal RNA, 394 nt
Filed under: uncultured bacterium
Lineage: Bacteria
Description: bacterial SSU rRNA
Rfam family: Bacterial small subunit ribosomal RNA
Source: RNAcentral